This 253-nucleotide ribosomal RNA is filed under the name uncultured bacterium. Its description in RNAcentral is "partial 16S ribosomal RNA". It matches the Rfam family "Bacterial small subunit ribosomal RNA", at positions 524 to 776 of the family's 1533-position model. The record is from RNAcentral.
UACAGAGGGUGCAAGCGUUGUUCGGAAUUAUUGGGCGUAAAGGGCGCGUAGGCGGUUCGGUAAGUCUGUCGUGAAAUCUCUGGGCUCAACUCAGAGUCUGCUGCAGAAACUGCCGUGCUUGAGUGUGGGAGAGGUGAGUGGAAUUCCCGGUGUAGCGGUGAAAUGCGUAGAGAUCCGGAGGAACACCAGUGGCGAAGGCGACACGCUGGGCCGUACCUGACACUGAUGCGCGACAGCAUGGGGAGCAAACAGG